This 985-nucleotide ribosomal RNA is filed under the name metagenome. RNAcentral describes it as "bacterial LSU rRNA". It matches the Rfam family "Bacterial large subunit ribosomal RNA", at positions 1942 to 2925 of the family's 2925-position model. The record is from RNAcentral.
AUAACGGUCCUAAGGUAGCGAAAUUCCUUGUCAGGUAAGUUCUGACCCGCACGAAAGGCGUAAUGAUUUGGGCACUGUCUCGACAAUGUACCCGGCGAAAUUGUAGUACUAGUGAAGAUGCUAGUUACCUGCGACAAGACAGAAAGACCCCAUGGAGCUUUACUGUAGUUUGAUAUUGGGUUUUGGUAAUUUAUGUACAGGAUAGGUGGGAGACAGAGAAGGAUGUGCGUCAGCAUAUCUGGAGUCAACGUUGGGAUACCACUCUUAAGUUAUUGAAAUUCUAACUUGUGAUCAUAAACUGGUCAGAGGACAAUGUCAGACGGGCAGUUUGACUGGGGCGGUCGCCUCCAAAAGAGUAACGGAGGCGCCCAAAGGUUCCCUCAGUGCGGACAGAAAUCGCACAAAAGAGUGUAAAGGCAGAAGGGAGCUUAACUGGAAGAUAGACAUAUCGAGCAGAUACGAAAGUAGGGCUUAGUGAUCCGGUGGAAUUGAAUGGAAAAGCCAUCGCUCAACGGACAAAAGUUACCCUGGGGAUAACAGGCUUAUCUCCCCCAAGAGUUCACAUCGACGGGGAGGUUUGGCACCUCGAUGUCGGCUCAUCGCAUCCUGGAGCGGAAGUACGUUCCAAGGGUUGGGCUGUUCGCCCAUUAAAGCGGUACGCGAGCUGGGUUCAGAACGUCGUGAGACAGUUCGGUCCUUAUCUGUCGCAGGCGGAAGAUAUUUGAAGGGAGCUGUCCUUAGUACGAGAGGACCAGGAUGGACAUACCGAUGGUUUAUCAGUUGUCACACCAGUGGCAUGGCUGAGUAGCCAAGUAUGGAAGGGAUAAACGCUGAAAGCAUCUAAGUGUGAAGCCCACCCUAAGAUAAGAUAUCUCAUACCGUAAGGUAGUAAGAUUCCAUAAAGACUAUGUGGUUGAUAGGUUGGAGGUGUAAGUACAGUAAUGUAUUGAGCUGACCAAUACUAAUAAAUCGAGGGCUUAACCAC